This is a long non-coding RNA of Oncorhynchus nerka (sockeye salmon), 3791 nucleotides long. RefSeq lists it as uncharacterized. NCBI's taxonomy places the organism in Eukaryota, Metazoa, Chordata, Actinopteri, Salmoniformes, Salmonidae. The transcript is spliced from 2 exons. The record is from RefSeq and is a predicted model, not a curated record.
GGCUUCCAAGGGAGGGAGGAGGAGAGGGGGAAAGAGCAGCCUUCCAAGGGAGGGAGGAGGAGAGGGGGAAAGAGAAGCCUUCCAAGGGAGGGGGAGACAGGGGUUGCAGAGUGAGACGUGGAGGAGGAUGGUCAUACAAGUACACAGAGAACAACCAAGAAAGGAGAGGGGAAGCACCCGACCCUAAAGGACAGAGAGAGAGACAGGAGCAAGGGCUACAGAGGCAGUGAGAGUCUGUGGACCUUGCAAGAGCAAGGAAAGGACCAACCCUGCUGCCCAGACUGGGACCCAGCUGGUCCCCCUACAGCUCAUCUCUUGCCCUGGGGCCCAGACUGGGAACCAGCUGGUCCCCCUACAGCUCAUCUCUUCCCUGAAGCUCCAGACUGGGACCCAUCUGGUCUCCCUACAGCUCAUCUCUGCCCUGCUGCCCAGACUGGGACCCAGCUGGUCUCCCUACAGCUCAUCUCUGUCCUGAAGCCCCAGACUGGGACCCAGCUGGUCUCCCUACAGCUCAUCUCUGCCCUGAAGCCCAGACUGGGACCCAGCUGGUCUCCCUACAGCUCAUCUCUGUCCUGCUGCCCAGACUGGGACCCAGCUGGUCCCCCUACAGCUCAUAUCUGCCCUGCUGCCCAGACUGGGACCCAGCUGGUCCCCCUACAGCUCAUCUCUGCCCUGAAGCUCCAGACUGGGACCCAGCUGGUCCCCCUACAGCUCAUCUCUGUCCUGAAGCCCCAGACUGGGACCCAGCUGGUCCCCCUACAGCUCAUCUCUGCCCUGAAGCCCAGACUGGGACCCAGCUGGUCUCCCUACAGCUCAUCUCUGUCCUGCUGCCCAGACUGGGACCCAGCUGGUCUCCCUACAGCUCAUCUCUGUCCUGCUGCCCAGACUGGGACCCAGCUGGUCCCCCUACAGCUCAUAUCUGCCCUGCUGCCCAGACUGGGACCCAGAUGGUCCCCCUACAGCUCAUCUCUUCCCUGAAGCUCCAGACUGGGACCCAGCUGGUCUCCCUACAGCUCAUCUAUCUCUGCCCUGCUGCCCAGACAGGGACCCAGCUGGUCCCCCUACAGCUCAUCUCUGCCCUGAAGCUCCAGACUGGGACCCAGCUGGUCCCCCUACAGCUCAUCUCUGCCCUGCUGCCCAGACUGGGACCCAGCUGGUCUCCCUACAGCUCAUCUCUUCCCUGAAGCUCCAGACUGGGACCCAGCUGGUCUCCCUACAGCUCAUCUCUGCCCCGCUGCCCAGACUGGGACCCAGCUGGUCCCCCUACAGCUCAUCUCUGCCCUGAAGCCCAGACUGGGACCCAGCUGGUCCCCCUACAGCUCAUCUCUGCCCUGAAGCCCAGACUGGGAACCAGCUGGUCUCCCUACAGCUCAUCUCUGCCCUGAAGCCCAAACUGGGACCCAGCUGGUCCCCCUACAGCUCAUCUCUGCCCUGAAGCCCAGACUGGGAACCAGCUGGUCUCCCUACAGCUCAUCUCUGCCCUGAAGCCCAGACUGGGACCCAGCUGGUCUCCCUACAGCUCAUCUCUGCCCUGAAGCUCCAGACUGGGACCCAGCUGGUCCCCCUACAGCUCAUCUCUGCCCUGCUGCCCAGACUGGGACCCAGCUGGUCCCCCUACAGCUCAUCUCUGCCCUGCUGCCCAGACUGGGACCCAGCUGGUCCCCCUACAGCUCAUCUCUGCCCUGCUGCCCAGACUGGGACCUAGCUGGUCUCCCUACAGCUCAUCUCUGCCCUGCUGCCCAGACUGGGACCCAGCUGGUCCCCCUACAGCUCAUCUCUUCCCUGAAGCUCCAGACUGGGACCCAGGGUCUCCCUACAGCUCAUCUCUGCCCUGCUGCCCAGACUGGGACCCAGCUGGUCCCCCUACAGCUCAUAUCUGCCCUGCUGCCCAGACUGGGACCCAGCUGGUCCCCCUACAGCUCAUCUCUGCCCUGAAGCUCCAGACAUUCACAGAGGAGAUGAGAUGGGCCAUGGACACGGAGCUGCAUGACCCAUCAGUGUGUGUGCAGCAGCAGGCAGCUUUGUCCCUAAACACCUUCAUCAGGAGGAAGACUAUUCAACUAGACACUAACAUACUGGAGGAUAAACUACACACACACCUCUAUAACAGGGUACAACACACACAUACCUCUGUAACAGGGUACAACACACACACACCUCUGUAACAGGGUACAACACACACACACACCUCUGUAACAGGAUACAACACACACACACACCUCUGUAACAGGGUACAACACACACACACCUCUGUAACAGGGUACAACACACACACACACCUCUGUAACAGGGUACAACACACACACACCUCUGUAACAGGGUACAACACACACAUACCUCUGUAAUAGGGUACAACACACACACACCUCUGUAACAGGGUACAACACACACAUACCUCUGCAACAGGGUACAACACACACACACCUCUGUAACAGGGUACAACACACACACACCUCUGUAACAGGGUACAACACACACAUACCUCUGUAACAGGGUACAACACACACACUCACCUCUGUAACCGGGUACAACACACACACACCUCUGUAACAGGGUACAACACACACACACCUCUGUAACAGGGUACAACACACACACACCUCUGUAACAGGGUACAACACACACACACAACUCUGUAACAGGGUACAACACACACACAACUCCGCAACAGGGUACAACACAGCACACACCUCCGCAACAGGUACAACACAGCACACACCUCCGCAACAGGUACAACACAACACACACCUCCGCAACAGGUACAACACAACACACACCUCCGCAACAGGUACAACACAACACACACCUCCGCAACAGGUACAACACAACACACACCUCCGCAACAGGUACAACCCCACACACACCUCCGCAACAGGUACAACACAACACACACCUCUCCGCAACAGGUACAACACACACCUCCGCAACAGGUACAACCCCACACACACCUCCGCAACAGGUACAACACAACACACACCUCCGCAGCAGGGUACAACACAACACACCUCUACAACAGGGUACAACACACCUCUACAACAGGGUGAAACGGGGUACAACACACACGGUACUUUAGACUGCUCACUAUCUGUGUUCUGUCUUUGCUGUUGAGGUCCUGUAGCUGCUGCCAUGUUAUUAUAGUCACUUUCUGUCCUUAUGUUCCUGUACACUUAAAAGGCCCUCUGAAUGGCAAACAGUCCCGAGAACAACAAGUCUUAUGAGAACAGAAUAUUAAUCAGUGUUCUCAUGUGUUGUGGGAGAAUCUCAAUUGCAUACUCCUCUCGCCGCCUCCUCUAACCCCAUUGGAGGAGGUCAGAGAGGUGGUGCCUGUAGCUUUCUCAUCCAAUGGGUUUUGAGGAGACAGGGAAAGAGGACACCAGGAGAAUGCAAAUGAGGUUUUCCCAGUAUGUUUGUUGGGUGAGUUGCUGAGGAGCCUCCCCAAGCCCUCUGACUCCCCCAGCAGGAUCUGGGAACAACUGCAGCCCAGAGGAAGACAUAGCAACUUGGGGUUACCUUGGAGACAGAACAGGAAUCUGGAUGUACUCUGCCAACGCAAUGUCAAUGAAGGGGUUACCUUGAAGGCCCAGAAUGUUAACCUGACAGCAGUACAAGAACUGAGCUUAAGGUACCUUCGUACUGGCACUAUCACCGUGUGGACAUAUCUGAAAUAUUUCCUACGUACUGCACUACUUCUGAUCAGAGCCCUGUGUGACCCAGCCUCUGACUUUCAUUGCGUGUCAUUGAUCAUAUGUAUUAUAAUGAGAUUCAUCUUAUAAAAGAAAAUACAAUUCCAA